AGCUUUGUGCAGUGGCAGUAUCGUAGCCAAUGAGGUUUAUCUGAGGUGUGAUUAUUGCUAUUAUAAAUAAAUAAAUAAAUAACCUUCAGAUCCCACCUCUGCAGGAAGCUUUACCGGCACACUGA
This is a small nuclear RNA of Myotis lucifugus (little brown bat), 125 nucleotides long. Its record names the gene U4. It matches the Rfam family "U4 spliceosomal RNA". From Rfam's summary of the family: U4 small nuclear RNA (U4 snRNA) is a component of the major U2-dependent spliceosome. The structure of U4 snRNA from yeast and human has been reported. Lineage: Eukaryota; Metazoa; Chordata; Mammalia; Chiroptera; Vespertilionidae. The record is from Ensembl.